CUGUCACGGGGGCGGGGCCGGCCCUGCGGGUCCCUAGUUCCGGGGAGCAGAGACGGGACUCGCUGGCCUGGGCGGCUGUAGGGCCCUGGAAGCACCGAUCCGCCCCACCCCUGCGGGCUGGCUCCUGCCGCCGCGCCCCACCACUGGGGCUGGAGCCGCCGCCUCCCGUGGCGCGUCAGCCCCAGCCGCGCCGAUGCCACGUGGGAGGCGGAGGAGCCGCCGCCGGCGCCGGCCUGGAGCCCCGGGGCCCCCCCAGGCGCAGGGGGCGCCGCUGGCGGGGCGCCGAGAGGCGGGAGGCUCCCGGGAGCGGGCGGGGCUCGGCCUGCCCCGCUGGGCCCCGCGGGAGGAGGUGCUCGGCGGCGCCCAGGGAGAGCUGGGCCUAGCGGGGCUGGUCCCGGCCCCGCCCGGUAGCGCGGCGGGGCCUGCCGGGCUCUCCCACCCGUGGGCCGCCCCCGUCCCGCUUCUCGCCCCGCUCCUGGCCCCGCCGGCCCCACGAGCGCAGGGCAGCGGCCUGCCCGCCGCGCUGGGCAUCUUCCGGGAGCUGGCCGGGCUGGCGCGGGAGCCGGGGCCCGGGGGCAGCAGGGCGGGGGCGGCGCCGCGGCUGAGGACCGUGUACGUGAACCCCAGGUGGCUGGAGCGGCAGGCGGCCUUGGCGGCGGCCCCGCAAGGCCCGGUCGGGCCGCAGGGCCCGGAGGCUGCGAGCAGCUCGCCGGGGCCUCCGCCCGCCACCCAGGGGGAGCCCUGCCCGGAGGCAGCGAGUCCCUACGUGGGGCUGCGGAGACCCCUGGGCUACCAGCUGGCGAAGGCCACCAAGGAGCGGAUCUGGAGGGGGGAGUUCAUUGACCUGUUCUCCUUGCUCCACACAGAGCUGGCCCCGGAGCACGAGCCUGGCCAGGGGCUGGGGGACACGCUGGACCAGUGGGUCUCCGCCUUCCUGGUGUACGCCAGUGUGCUGUGCGAGAAGCACCCCAACAGGUGUGGGGCCAUGUUCAAAUACCUGGAUGUCAUCCGCAAAUUCCACGCCACCUACGGCGGCACUUCCUGGCUGCACUAUGACGAGGACUUCAGGCGGCUGGCGGCCAAGGACCCCACCAUGGCCUGGGGGGAUGUUGACUUGAAUCUCUGGAUGAAGUGGAUGGCCCCGUUAAAGCCAUCGACAACCAGGCAGCCGCAGGCUGCGGGUGACCAGCAGGCUCCACUGCGGCCUCAAAAUUCCAGGACGGAUGAUAAAAGUCAGGUGUGCCGGGCUUGCAACAGUGGCACGUGCUCCCACGCUGUCUGUGCAUUAAAGCAGAAAUGUACAAGGUGCCAGGGGCAUCAGGGUGCUGCCCAUGCAUGCUGUGCAUCCAAAGGGGAAGAGGAAGGAGGGCACAUUGAAAGACCACGGAAAGCAGAAGAGCAGCAAUGCUCAGAAUGUCACUCGAGUUGAGACAGGGCCUCACUGCUAAUAGUCUAGAGAUUUUUUUCAAACAGAUACAGAUUAUAUGGCUAAAAAAGUCAACUAUGGAUUCUUAGUUGACUAAUGCAGCAUGGUUUAGGGUGUAAACAAAGCUCCAGCAAGUUAGAACAGGACACUUAUUACAAAAUGUGUUCCCUACUUGUAUUAAUUUUUUGGACGUGCUACUACGCAAGAGAAAUUAGUUAUUGAUACUGUUGUAAUGUUAAGGCUCCCCAACGAUCUGUUUUUCCUCUUUGUAAAGAAUAUGUUGCUUCCCAAGAAAUCGUGGGUGGGCGGGAAAGAAAACCAGGAGAAUUGACCUAUGAUUGUUUUAAAUAUGUUCCUCAUGAUAGAGUUAUUCAUAUACAAAACAGAAUGUGCAUGAGAUUUUGCUGUUGUCAUUUGUGGGGGUUUUGGCAUCUGGAGGUGGGGUGAAAGAUAAAAGCUGGUCAAGGAUGCAUGUCAAUGCAAGUGAGAUAAACCAGAGUUUUGGUGGGCACAGUUUGCACCACUUCUAACGAAUAGAGGAUUCAAGUCAAACUCAGGAUUCAACAGAUUAAACCCACAAGAAUUUUAGCCUACCUUGUGCAAAAGCACAAGAAGAAGGCCUUGUCUACAUUGAGGAUUUGCCAUUAUUACAGUCAUCGGUGUAACUGGACUGGUGCAACCCUAAGGUACACCUGGUGUAGUUUAUUCCAUUUGAAGCAGGGAGGAGCUCUUCCACCAGUACAUAUAGCAGCUCUGUCUGUGUACAUGAGGGGUUGCACCUGUCCAGUUAUAAUAAUGACUGAAAUGAAAGCAAAUCCCCAGUAUAUACAAGGUCAAAGACUGAAUAUUGAGUCUCAGGUCAAAUGUAUGCUAGUUGAAAGGCUUUGUUAAUGCAUUCACUAUUCUUUUUUUAAUUGUUUUGAGGACCCUAGGAGGCAAAUGAAUUUUUGAUGCAUCCUUUUGGAUUCUUGCUAUUCUAUAUUAUAUUUUAUAGUGACUGACACAGAGCUGUUAAAGGGUGGGACUGUAGUAGCGUGAUCUGGAGAUAGAUAACUUUUCUAGAAUUGCAAGUAUUUAAUCACAAAACUAAGUCCUGUGUUUUGUACCAUAUCAAAACUGGUUUGUCUGAGCCAACUGCAAAAACAGUGGAAAUGGGUACCAUAGAAUGUGUACCAAAUCACAAGUACUAUAAUAGCUCCCAGUGCAGCUAUUGUGGCAUUAGUACAUUUUUUGUAAUGAUAAUACUCUAUGCUUAUGCAAUUUGUUCUGACAUCUCUCUUUAGACUUCUCAUUUCUGAAAUGUAGCAGAUCAGUUUUUACUUCACUGCAGAUCUUACCAUGAGAAAGCUAGUUGGAAGGGCAGUCCAACUAAAUUGGUACCAACAGCCUGACUCCAUUGUUGUCUAAGUGGAGCUCAGGUAUUCUAUUGCACCCAUUUACCUCUGCUUUUGCUGCAUUGCAUGCUCUGCUAAAGAAGACAUAGGAGAUUCAUUUUACCCAACCAGCAGUUGUAGCAAUGGACUACAAUCAAGCCAGUUUGUUGGACAGUAAGAAUACUUGCAGUGCAGCAUUUGACACAGACUAUCUAAAGAGGGCAAAGAUUCAGGAGGGUGAAUGAGUUGAACCGCCUUUGAAUGAAGUCUGAAACAACUUCAAGAAGGGGAAUCCUACUCUAAAAUACUACAUAGAAAGUAUAAGUCAAAGUGAAUAUUGUAAUUGCCAGAUUGUCCCUUCUCAUACAAGCAAACUAUUUUGUGCUGUUCUGGGUCCUUAAAAGAACACACUUGAAUAUUUCAAAAUCUAUGUAUUACACUUAUUUAAAAAAAAAUUCAAAUAUUUGUCUUUAUUAACUUUGCCAUUUCAUGAAGAAUAUCUGCAACAACAUGUACUGAGUUGAAUAAUACCCUACAUUCAAUAGAUCAGCAGCUGUUGACAGUUGUUUUAUAAGAUUCACACAACAUUUCCUCUCUUUUUCCUCUGGGGGAAAAGAAGCAUUGACUUCCAUUGGCACAUUCAAAAAAGCCAUAGGGCAGUCAUACAUACCUUGCUUCUUCACCACACAUAGAGAUGACAAAUUAUUCUUCCAUGCAUCCCAAUAGUAUAUCUAGCAUUGUAAAUAUCAAGUUAUGAAUGGUUAUUAUCUGGUGCCAAUGAAAGUUAGAUUAGAUGGAUCAUGGCUUAAUUAUUUGGGUUUUUUUCCCAGUGUUCUGUUUUUUCUCUCCCCCUCACCUCACAUACUAGGGCAUAUGAUCAAGAUGAUAAUUAGGUAUCAGAAAAUCAACCAUUAUCUGUUCUGUUUUUCCCAUUCUUGGUUGUCACAAUAUUAUGCACUAACUUGAAAUGUUUGUAAAUUCAUAUUAAAAAUGUUUGAGACCUCAUCUAAAUAAAUUUUUUUUAUAAAAAUGUCGUGCUUAACUU
Chrysemys picta bellii (western painted turtle) is the source of this 3844-nucleotide RNA transcript. It is a transcript of the gene named collagen alpha-1(II) chain-like, with no coding region annotated. The record is from RefSeq and is a predicted model, not a curated record. Lineage: Eukaryota; Metazoa; Chordata; Testudines; Emydidae.